UCUGCCUACAAUGCGGGAGACCUGGGUUCAAUCCCUGGGACUGGAAAAUCCCCUGGAUAAGGGCAGGGCAACACAUUCAGUAUUCUUGCCUGGAGAAUCCCAUGGAUGAGGAACCUGGUAGGCUACAGUCCAUAGGGUUGCAAAGAUUUGGACAUAAGUGAAGC
Long non-coding RNA from Cervus elaphus (red deer), 164 nucleotides. RefSeq lists it as uncharacterized. Lineage: Eukaryota; Metazoa; Chordata; Mammalia; Artiodactyla; Cervidae. The record is from RefSeq and is a predicted model, not a curated record. The transcript is spliced from 3 exons.